UUUAUUGUGCUGAGGCAUUAUCAUAGCCCAUGAAGUUCUACUGAGAUGUGAUUAUUGCUGGUUGAAAACUUAACCCAAUUCCCGCCUAGAUGACUUGAAAUAUAGUCAGUAACUUUAUUUA
Molecule: small nuclear RNA, 121 nt
Filed under: Labrus bergylta (ballan wrasse)
Lineage: Eukaryota; Metazoa; Chordata; Actinopteri; Labriformes; Labridae
Description: U4 spliceosomal RNA (ENSLBEG00000016444.1)
Rfam family: U4 spliceosomal RNA
About the family: U4 small nuclear RNA (U4 snRNA) is a component of the major U2-dependent spliceosome.
Source: RNAcentral